GGAUUUGAACCGAGGAGACUCUUGCCCC
Molecule: non-coding RNA, 28 nt
Filed under: Mus musculus (house mouse)
Lineage: Eukaryota; Metazoa; Chordata; Mammalia; Rodentia; Muridae
Source: RNAcentral